Molecule: ribosomal RNA, 253 nt
Filed under: uncultured bacterium
Lineage: Bacteria
Description: partial 16S ribosomal RNA
Rfam family: Bacterial small subunit ribosomal RNA
Source: RNAcentral
UACGUAGGCAGCAAGCGUUGUUCGGAGUUACUGGGCGUAAAGGGUGUGUAGGCGGUUGUUUAAGUUUGGUGUGAAAUCUCCCGGCUCAACUGGGAGGGUGCGCCGAAUACUGAAUGACUAGAGUGCGGGAGAGGAAAGUGGAAUUCCUGGUGUAGCGGUGAAAUGCGUAGAUAUUGGGAGGAACACCAGUGGCGAAGGCGGUCCCCUGGGCCGGAACUGACGCUGAGGCGCGAAAGCGUGGGUAGCAAACGGG